AAGUGACAGAUAAGAGGGAAUAAUUAAUUUAUCAGAGGAGACCAGACUCUAAUCCCCGGUGUCCCAGUGAUAAGGUUGUUUUUUUUCACUCUCUCUCCUUCCUUUAGAUCUCUUCUGGUGAUAGAAAGCUCUCUCUCAGCAGGUUCUGUUAAUAAGCCUGUCAGAGAGGCCAGGGAGAGCCCGUCCAGAGCAGGUUAUCUCCUCACCACACACCCACGUCUCCCCCUGACAGCGUCUGGCUGGCCGCUCGACGGCCCUUUGAAACCUCAGGAGCACUGGGCCGCCUUCUGCAGGCCUUCGAGGCAGCCCUGUCAUUUGAACUGGCUAAUUCCAGCAUCGGGGGGCAGAAAAGGGCCAGAGGACUCGGCGGCUGACAGUCCCGUCAGCACAGGCGAGCCAUCGCUUUGGGUUUAAACGUGGGCAUCUCUCCUGAGGUGGUCGCGCAUUUAUCAUAUCGUGUGUGUGUGGAUUCAACUGCCCCUCGCGGUGUGAGACGCUUUUGUGUGCCUGCUUUCUCCAUCUGUGCAGGCCUGUCUGGUAGCGCCAGUCUGGAUCUGUCUGCCCUGCACAGCACGAAAUAUGUGUGUGUUUGUGUGUGUGAAGAGAUGAGGUCAAUAAGGAAGGUGGAUAUCAUGUGGGAGUUUAAGCAGACAGAGUCUUUAAUAAAUAAUAACCUGUAUGAUUGAAGCUUAGCCAGGUUCUGUACACAGGUGGACAUCGCCUUCAUUUCUGGGAAAUGUAUUAAAAUCCUUUUCAAAAGUAGUAAUUGAAAACCCAGGGACAAGAUUAACAACUUGGCGGUUGUGGAAUUUGAUGGUUUAUGAAUAACAAUGCUCCAACUAUUUUUUUUUCUCAUGAAUAUUUAAAAUGUCAAAUAUUAAUCAGAUAUGAGAUCGAAUUUAGUUUGCAGAUAAGAUGUUAAUGCUGCAGCUGCUGCUGUUUUUAUAAGCAGGGAUUUGUUUACUGUGUGUAUUCUUUAAUGUUAUUAUUUGUCAGAUUUAAUAUAUCAUUAUAUACCAUUAUAUUCUAUAUUUGUAUUCUUUUCUUUUUGAUCAUAUACCAUCUGAUCAUCAUUAGAGGUAGGUAUUGAUCUGUUCAAACCAGGGAUUUUGGCAAUGCUAGUGCUAUGUUUGAUUCCAAUCUAUUUAAAGUCAGAUGAAGUGAAAAUUCA
Carassius carassius (crucian carp) is the source of this 1171-nucleotide long non-coding RNA. RefSeq lists it as uncharacterized. NCBI's taxonomy places the organism in Eukaryota, Metazoa, Chordata, Actinopteri, Cypriniformes, Cyprinidae. The transcript is spliced from 2 exons. The record is from RefSeq and is a predicted model, not a curated record.